RNAcentral lists this ribosomal RNA (460 nucleotides) under uncultured bacterium. RNAcentral's name for it is "partial 16S ribosomal RNA". It matches the Rfam family "Bacterial small subunit ribosomal RNA", at positions 338 to 795 of the family's 1533-position model. The record is from RNAcentral.
CCUACGGGAGGCAGCAGUGAGGAAUAUUGGUCAAUGGGCGCUAGCCUGAACCAGCCAAGUAGCGUGAAGGAUGACUGCCCUAUGGGUUGUAAACUUCUUUUAUAUGGGAAUAAAGUGCAGUAUGUAUACUGCUUUGCAUGUACCUCAUGAUUAAGGAUCGGCUAACUCCGUGCCAGCAGCCGCGGUAAUACGGAGGAUCCGAGCGUUAUCCGGAGUUAUUGGGGAUAAAGGGCGCGUAGGCGGGUUGUUAAGUCAGUUGUGAAAUAUUGCGGCUCAACCGUAAAAUUGCAGUUGAUACUGGCAUCCUUGAGUACAGGAGAGGUAGGCGGAAUUCGUGGUGUAGGGGUGAAAUGCUUAGAGAUCAAGAAGAACACCGAUUGCGAAGGCAGCCUGCUGGACUGUAACUGACGCUGAUGCGCGAAAGUGUGGGUAUCAAACAGGAUUAGAUACCCCAGUAGUC